AACGCGUGAGCAACCUACCCAUAUCAGGGGGAUAGCCUCUCGAAAGAGAGAUUAACACCGCAUAACAUCAUUUACCGGCAUCGGUUGAUGAUCAAAUAUUUAUAGGAUAUGGAUGGGCUCGCGUGACAUUAGCUAGUUGGAGGGGUAACGGCCCACCAAGGCUACGAUGUCUAGGGGCUCUGAGAGGAGAAUCCCCCACACUGGUACUGAGACACGGACCAGACUCCUACGGGAGGCAGCAGUAAGGAAUAUUGGUCAAUGGAGGGAACUCUGAACCAGCCAUGCCGCGUGCAGGAUGACUGCCCUAUGGGUUGUAAACUGCUUUUGUCAGGGAAUAAACCUUUCCACGUGUGGGAAGCUGAAUGUACCUGAAGAAUAAGGAUCGGCUAACUCCGUGCCAGCAGCCGCGGUAAUACGGAGGAUCCAAGCGUUAUCCGGAUUUAUUGGGUUUAAAGGGUGCGUAGGCGGUCCUAUAAGUCAGUGGUGAAAGACGGCAGCUUAACUGUCGCAGUGCCUUUGAUACUGUAGGACUUGAAUCUAUUUGAAGUGGGCGGAAUAAGACAAGUAGCGGUGAAAUGCAUAGAUAUGUCUUAGAACUCCGAUUGCGAAGGCAGCUCACUAAGUUAGUAUUGACGCUGAUGCACGAAAGCGUGGGGAUCAAACAGGAUUAGAUACCCUGGUAGUCCACGCCCUAAACGAUGAUAACUCGAUGUUUGCGAUACACAGUAAGCGUCCAAGCGAAAGCGUUAAGUUAUCCACCUGGGGAGUACGGUCGCAAGAUUGAAACUCAAAGGAAUUGACGGGGGCCCGCACAAGCGGAGGAGCAUGUGGUUUAAUUCGAUGAUACGCGAGGAACCUUACCCGGGCUUGAAAGUUAGUGAAUGAUCCAGAGACGGAUCAGUCCUUCGGGACACGAAACUAGGUGCUGCAUGGCUGUCGUCAGCUCGUGCCGUGAGGUGUUGGGUUAAGUCCCGCAACGAGCGCAACCCCUAUGUUUAGUUGCCAGCACAUUAAGGUGGGGACUCUAAACAGACUGCCAGCGUAAGCUGUGAGGAAGGUGGGGACGACGUCAAGUCAUCAUGGCCCUUACGUCCGGGGCUACACACGUGCUACAAUGGAUGGUACAGCGGGCAGCUACAUAGCAAUAUGAUGCUAAUCUCUAAAAGCCAUUCACAGUUCGGAUUGAGGUCUGCAACUCGACCUCAUGAAGUUGGAUUCGCUAGUAAUCGCGUAUCAGCAAUGACGCGGU
This 1249-nucleotide ribosomal RNA is filed under the name uncultured Sphingobacterium sp. RNAcentral describes it as "bacterial SSU rRNA". It matches the Rfam family "Bacterial small subunit ribosomal RNA", at positions 112 to 1363 of the family's 1533-position model. The record is from RNAcentral. Lineage: Bacteria; Pseudomonadati; Bacteroidota; Sphingobacteriia; Sphingobacteriales; Sphingobacteriaceae.